UACGGGGGGGGCAAGCGUUGUUCGGAAUUACUGGGCGUAAAGGGCUCGUAGGCGGCCAACUAAGUCAGACGUGAAAUCCCCAGGCUUAACCUGGGAACUGCGUCUGAUACUGGAUGGCUUGAAUCCGGGAGAGGGAUGCAGAAUUCCAGGUGUAGCGGUGAAAUGCGUAGAUAUCUGGAGGAAUACCGGUGGCGAAGGCGGCAUCCUGGACCGACAUUGACGCUGAUGAGCGAAAGCUAGGGGAGCAAACGGG
Molecule: ribosomal RNA, 253 nt
Filed under: uncultured bacterium
Lineage: Bacteria
Description: partial 16S ribosomal RNA
Rfam family: Bacterial small subunit ribosomal RNA
Source: RNAcentral